CUUGUUUCAAAUCAGCGCCCCCUGCCUCAGCCUAGUACUGGGAUUGCAAACAUGUCACCAGACUCAGUGACUUAAUAGUCUAGCUGUAAAUAAUACUUAAUGCUAGCUCAGGUACCUGCCAGAAAAGUGUGGUGAGCUUCCCUGAAUAUGCCCUCUGUCCUUCAGAGUGGACCGAUGUGUUUACAUAAAAAACAUUUACUUGGGGGCAGGGCACACGGGCCAUGGGGUUCGCGUGGAGGCCAGAGGACAAGGUCCUCUCUCCACCAUGUGGCUCCAGCAAUGGAAGUUGGGUCAUGGGUCUCAUUGUUUCUUUUAGUCCUGAUUUUAUCACGGUGACAGAGAAGGAAGCUGAGACAGUAAGCUGAAAACAGGAAGCCUUCUUUCUGUCUGUUUGAAAUGCAGCCAAGCCCAGCCUGGAGGGUCCACUCCAGAUUCUAUGGAGCCUACAUUCAACAGCAGCCGUGGGAGGGAGCAAUUCUUCAUCCUAACUCAGUCUCCAGGAGUAUGGUUGUCAAGAGAAGGCAAGAACGGUGCUGCAGAGAGCCAGUGACAGCCCCACCCUGAAGCUGGCUGGAAGGAGUCAGGAGUACCACACCCUCAAGGCCCAGCCUUCAAACCCCGCCCCCCCCCCCCCGUCCCGUCCCAUCUCCUAAAGUCCCACAGCCCCCCCCAACACACACACCCUAAACUGCAGGGUGGGGACACAGUGCUCAGAAUGAGCCUGUAGGGGAGCAUUCCAGAUUCAAACCACUGCACAAACAAAAAAAUAAUAAAAGACGAAAUUAAUGAAAAUGAAUACAAAUGCAGUCAGUGAAUUCAGAGAACGGGUGUGCUGAGAAAUGCCGGUGUCCUGGAGGUUCCGGUGGAACGAGACCUCACCGGAGCACAAGAGAGAUACGGAGGACAAACCCUGGCACCUAACACCGAAAGGAGAGUGGCUUUAGAAAAAGGAGAAAGGGGAAAUAUGUAUAAAGGGAAAACAAGAGUUGAACAAUUAAUUAAAGAGCAUUUUCUGAGCCUCAGAAAGACUUGAUUAAAGGGGCUGAUAAAGUUCCAGGAAGGAUUAAUUAAAGAAAGGCAUAUACUUAGACAGACCCUGGUGUAAUUCCAGAAUUAUAAACUCCCAGACAA
This 1131-nucleotide long non-coding RNA is filed under the name Cricetulus griseus (Chinese hamster). RNAcentral describes it as "lncRNA (ENSCGRG00015034167.1)". Lineage: Eukaryota; Metazoa; Chordata; Mammalia; Rodentia; Cricetidae. The record is from RNAcentral.